GACGAACGCUGGCGGCGUGCUUAACACAUGCAAGUCGAACGAAGUGGCGAACGGGUGAGUAACGCGUAAUCAACCUGCCCUUCAGAGGGGGUCACUAGUUGGAAACGACUGCUAAUACCCCCUACUGAUGGGGGGGUUUGCGUCUGAUUAGCUAGGUGGAGGGGUAACGGCCCACCAAGGCGAUGUUCAGUAGCCGGUCGGGGAGGAUGAACGGCCACAUUGGGACUUAGAAACGGCCCAGACUCCUACGGGAGGCAGCAGUGGGGAAUCUUCCGCAAUGGACGAAAGUCUGACGGAGCAACGCCGCGUGAGUGAUGACGGCCUUCGGGUUGUAAAGCUCUGUUAAUCGGGACGCGGUACCGGAAUAGAAAGCCACGGCUAACUACGUGCCAGCAGCCGCGGUAAUAC
RNAcentral lists this ribosomal RNA (408 nucleotides) under uncultured bacterium. RNAcentral's name for it is "partial 16S ribosomal RNA". It matches the Rfam family "Bacterial small subunit ribosomal RNA", at positions 28 to 526 of the family's 1533-position model. The record is from RNAcentral.